This is a non-coding RNA of Phrynosoma platyrhinos (Desert horned lizard), 72 nucleotides long. The record is from the annotation of a GenBank genome assembly. NCBI's taxonomy places the organism in Eukaryota, Metazoa, Chordata, Lepidosauria, Squamata, Phrynosomatidae.
GCCAGGGUGGUCUAGUGAUUUGAGCAUUGGACUAGGAAUCUGGAGACUAGGGUUCAAAUCCCGGCUUGGCCA